GCGGCCCUGGCGAUGUGGAUAGGAGGGUGCUCCCUCUGCUGUUUCCUGAAGUCCACGAUCAGCUCCAUUGUUUUGUUGACGUUGAGCGAGAGGUUGUUUUCCUGACACCACAUUCCCAGGGCCCUCACCUCCUCCCUGUAGGCUGUCUCGCCAUUGUUGGUAAUCAGGCCUGAUUGAGUUGGAGGGUGCAUGGUCAUGCAGUCAUGGGUGAACAGGGAGUACAGGAGGGGCCGAGCUAGUACCCUUGUGGGGCCGCUGUGUUGAGGAUCAGCGAAGUGGAGGUGUUGUUUCCUUCCUUCGCCACCUGGGGGUGGGCCGUCAGGAAGUCCAGGACCCAGUUGGACAGGGCUGGGUUCAGACCCAGGGCCCCAAGAUUAAUGAUGAGCUUGGAGGGUACUAUGGUGUUGAAUGCUGAGCUGUAGUCAAUGAACAGCAUUCUUACAUAGUUUUUCCUCUUGUCCAGAUGGGAUAGGGCAGUGUGCAGUGCGAUGGCGAUAACAUGGUCCGUGGAUCUAUUGGGGCGGUAAGCAAAUUAAAGUGGGUCUAGGGUGUCAGGUAAGGUAGAGGUGAUAUGAUCCUUAACUAGCCCCUCAAAGCACUUCAUGAUGACAGAAGUGAGGGCUAUUUGGCGAUAGUCAUUUAGUUCAGGAACAAUGGAGAACAUCUUGAAGCAAGUAGGGACAGCAGACUGGGUUGUAGUUCAGACUGGGAGAGGUGGAGCACCCUUCAGAGAGACAGGAGAGGAGUGGUGUUUUGGUUCCUUAACUCCACCAGGAGGAGUGGUGGAGCGCCCUUCAGAGAGACAGGAGAGGAGUGGUGUUUUGGUUCCUUUACUCCACCAGGAGGAAAGGUGGAGCGCCCUUCAGAGAGACAGGAGAGGAGUGGUGUUUUGGUUCCUUAACUCCACCAGGAGGAGUGGUGGAGCACCCUUCAGAGAGACAGGAGAGGAGUGGUGUUUUGGUUCCUUUACUCCACCAGGAGGAGAGGUGGAGCGCCCUUCAGAGAGACAGGAGAGGAGUGGUGUUUUGGUUCCUUUACUCCACCCUUCAGAGAGACAGGAGAGGAGUGGUGUUUUGGUUCCUUAACUCCACCAGGAGGAGUGGUGGAGCACCCUUCAGAGAGACAGGAGAGGAGUGGUGUUUUGGUUCCUUUACUCCACCCUUCAGAGAGACAGGAGAGGAGUGGUGUUUUGGUUCCUUAACUCCACCAGGAGGAGUGGUGGAGCACCCUUCAGAGAGACAGGAGAGGAGUGGUGUUUUGGUUCCUUUACUCCACCCUUCAGAGAGACAGGAGAGGAGUGGUGUUUUGGUUCCUUUACUCCACCAGGAGGAGAGGUGGAGCGCCCAUCAGAGAGAUAGGAGAGGAGUGGUGUUUUGGUUCCUUAACUCCACUAGGAGGAGUGGUGCAGACUGCAGGCUGCUGGCUGUGUUCCUU
This 1434-nucleotide long non-coding RNA is filed under the name Salmo salar (Atlantic salmon). RNAcentral describes it as "lncRNA (ENSSSAG00000120302.1)". The record is from RNAcentral. Lineage: Eukaryota; Metazoa; Chordata; Actinopteri; Salmoniformes; Salmonidae.